AUUGAACGCUGGCGGCAGGCCUAACACAUGCAAGUCGUGCGGAUGAAGGGAGCUUGCUCCUGGAUUCAGCGGCGGACGGGUGAGUAAUGCCUAGGAAUCUGCCUGGUAGUGGGGGAUAACGUCCGGAAACGGGCGCUAAUACCGCCUACGUCCUGAGGGAGAAAGUGGGGGAUCUUCGGACCUCACGCUAUCAGAUGAGCCUAGGUCGGAUUAGCUAGUUGGUGGGGUAAAGGCCUACCAAGGCGACGAUCCGUAACUGGUCUGAGAGGAUGAUCAGUCACACUGGAACUGAGACACGGUCCAGACUCCUACGGGAGGCAGCAGUGGGGAAUAUUGGACAAUGGGCGAAAGCCUGAUCCAGCCAUGCCGCGUGUGUGAAGAAGGUCUUCGGAUUGUAAAGCACUUUAAGUUGGGAGGAAGGGCAGUAAGUUAAUACCUUGCUGUUUUGACGUUACCAACAGAAUAAGCACCGGCUAACCUCGUG
RNAcentral lists this ribosomal RNA (484 nucleotides) under uncultured bacterium. RNAcentral's name for it is "partial 16S ribosomal RNA". It matches the Rfam family "Bacterial small subunit ribosomal RNA", at positions 30 to 507 of the family's 1533-position model. The record is from RNAcentral.